RNAcentral lists this ribosomal RNA (364 nucleotides) under uncultured eukaryote. RNAcentral describes it as "partial 18S ribosomal RNA". It matches the Rfam family "Eukaryotic small subunit ribosomal RNA", at positions 592 to 976 of the family's 1831-position model. The record is from RNAcentral.
CAAAAGCGUAUAUUAAAGUUGUUGCAGUUAAAAAGCUCGUAGUUGAACCUUGGGCUUGGCUGGCCGGUCCAUCUUUUUUGAUGCGUACUGGACCCAGCUGAGCCUUUCCUUCUGGCUAGCCUUUUGGCGAACCAGGACUUUUACUUUGAAAAAAUUAGAGUGUUCAAAGCAGGCCUUUGCUCGAAUAUAUUAGCAUGGAAUAAUAGAAUAGGACGUUAUGGUUCUAUUUUGUUGGUUUCUAGGACCAUCGUAAUGAUUAAUAGGGACGGUCGGGGGUAUCAGUAUUCAGUUGUCAGAGGUGAAAUUCUUGGAUUUACUGAAGACUAACUACUGCGAAAGCAUUUACCAAGGACGUUUUCAUUAA